GCAGCGCAAUGGAUAGCACGUUGGACUUCUAAUCCAAAGGUCGUGGAUUCGAUUCCCAACUAUG
This 64-nucleotide transfer RNA is filed under the name Trichonephila clavipes. RNAcentral describes it as "tRNA-Arg". It matches the Rfam family "tRNA", at positions 9 to 63 of the family's 71-position model. From Rfam's summary of the family: Transfer RNA (tRNA) molecules are approximately 80 nucleotides in length. Lineage: Eukaryota; Metazoa; Arthropoda; Arachnida; Araneae; Nephilidae. The record is from RNAcentral.